AAAGGCUGGUGCAGCUGCUUUUAAGCCUUGAUUAACGAAACCAUAGAAUACAAGGGGGGAUAUAGAGCGUAAACCCCAAAUUAUAAUAAGUAACGUAUUUUAACAUGCACGAGUUAGCAAAGAGUGCGUCAAUGACUACUCUAUUUGCUUUAACAAAGCGGUGACAUAACGAAAAGUCAAUUGUACUAAAGACAAGUGUCAUAACGACUAAUAGUGCAGGUUUCCUACAAUGUUGCAACAUGAAAUCAUAUCUGACGACCCAAUGUUUCAUCCAGCUACUACGAGGUUGCAACCAUUUGACAAAGCAUGAAACCCGCAACUACCUAGAGCAACCAAGACACGCAAGGUGCCAAUACGGGGACGAUGCCCACAUCUCCUUAUAGAAAUUAAGCAAUAAAUAGCUAACAUCUAGUAAAAUAAAAUAACAUAAUGCUAGAAAUAUAAUUGCCCUAAAAGGGCUAAAUUUAUUAGCCAAGGCCCAAUGGACCAAACCUAACAGACACCCACUCCUCCUCCCGGCCGAAACUCAUGGCUGCUCUACCCUCCCCACCACCGUCGUCGGGCCUCCACCACGACGCCAUCUGACCAUCGAUUGACAACGUCGAACAUCUCAGUCCACCUAGCGCCAACUAAGACCCAGAUAUCUUGCAACAAGAAUCGGAGCCAACCCUACCAGCCAUCGAUCCACAUCAGCUAAUACAGUGAUCCGAAAUUCGGCCAGCCCGAUCGCCGAUAGCCGCCUGAAGCCGCUCCAACCCUGUAAAGACUCGAUUUCUCUCCGAUCCCAACCCACCUCCAUGAAACAACCACAACUUUCAAUCGAGAUAGAUAGAUUAGGUUACCUUUUGAUUUGAUUCUCCGAGCAUGAGGCACAUCUCCAACAAAAAACACAUGUCCGGCCACAGCCACCAUGCGCCAGUUAGGCCAGAGGCCAUUACUGAUGUCAUGGCGCAGCAGGACAGGCAAAGGAGCAAAAGACGACGUCUCUAGGUUUUUUUUUUUUCUAGAGAGAGAAAGUCUAGGUUUUAUUAAUUAUAAAAUCCUCAAAUUUUUAUACAUUUUUGAUACUUUAAUAAUAAUCAAAUUAGCUGAAAAUUUUGUAUGGAUAAUCAAGUCAUGUAUAUCUAGAUAUUGGUCAGCUAUGAUAAAAAAAUAUGAUCGGAAAGUGGGUCAAAUUAAGAAAAUUCAUAGUUAUCUACGAUAAG
This 1205-nucleotide long non-coding RNA is filed under the name Fragaria vesca (wild strawberry). Its description in RNAcentral is "long non-coding RNA (FVES_LNC005210)". The record is from RNAcentral. Lineage: Eukaryota; Viridiplantae; Streptophyta; Magnoliopsida; Rosales; Rosaceae.